This 207-nucleotide ribosomal RNA is filed under the name uncultured bacterium. Its description in RNAcentral is "partial 16S ribosomal RNA". It matches the Rfam family "Bacterial small subunit ribosomal RNA", at positions 568 to 774 of the family's 1533-position model. The record is from RNAcentral.
CGCGUAGGUGGUUUGGUAAGAUGGAUGUGAAAUCCCCGGGCUCAACCUGGGAACUGCAUCCAUAACUGCCUGACUAGAGUACGGUAGAGGGUGGUGGAAUUUCCUGUGUAGCGGUGAAAUGCGUAGAUAUAGGAAGGAACACCAGUGGCGAAGGCGACCACCUGGACUGAUACUGACACUGAGGUGCGAAAGCGUGGGGAGCAAACA